RNAcentral lists this ribosomal RNA (1765 nucleotides) under Spinitectus gracilis. Its description in RNAcentral is "SSU rRNA". It matches the Rfam family "Eukaryotic small subunit ribosomal RNA". The record is from RNAcentral. Lineage: Eukaryota; Metazoa; Nematoda; Chromadorea; Rhabditida; Rhabdochonidae.
AUGCAUGUCUAAGUUCAAAUAACUUAUAAAGGUGAAACCGCGAACGGCUCAUUAUAACAGCUAUAAUGUACUUGAUCUUGAUAAUCCAACGUGGAUAACUGUGGUAAUUCUAGAGCUAAUACAUGCACCAAAGCUCCGACUUUAAUCAGGACGAGCGCAUCUAUUAGAUUAAAACCAAUCGGGUGGUUGCUUACCGGCUUCAACCCGUCAAUUGGUGACUCUGAAUAGCUCAGGCUGAUCGCAUGGUCUUCGUACCGGCGACGUGUCUAUCAAGUGUCUGCCUUAUCAACUUUCGAUGGUAGUUUAUGUGCCUACCAUGGUUGUAACGGGUAACGGAGAAUAAGGGUUCGACUCCGGAGAGGGAGCCUGAGAAACGGCUACCACAUCCAAGGAAGGCAGCAGGCGCGCAAAUUACCCACUCUCGGCAUGAGGAGGUAGUGACGAAAAAUAACGAGACCGUUCUCUUCGAGGCCGGUUAUCGGAAUGGGUACAAUUUAAACCCGUUAACGAGGAUCUAUGAGAGGGCAAGUCUGGUGCCAGCAGCCGCGGUAAUUCCAGCUCUCAAAGUGUAUAUCGUCAUUGCUGCGGUUAAAAAGCUCGUAGUUGGAUCUGCGCCUCAGGACCUGGUCCGUCCAUUGGACGAGAACUGGGCUCCUGGGCUCUUAGCGGUCGGUUUUCCGUGCGUUGCGUUGCCUUUGGGUGGCGGCGUGCGGUGGCCGACGAGUUUACCUUGAAAAAAUUAGAGUGCUCAAAGCGGGCUGACGCCUGAAUACUCGUGCAUGGAAUAAUGAAAUAGGAUCUCGGUUCUAUUUUGUUGGUUUUCUGAUCUGAGAUAAUGGUUAAGAGGGACGGACGGGGGCAUUCGUAUCGCUGCGUGAGAGGUGAAAUUCUUGGACCGUAGCGAGACGCCCGACUGCGAAAGCAUUUGCCAAGAAUGUCUUCAUUAAUCAAGAACGAAAGUCAGAGGUUCGAAGGCGAUCAGAUACCGCCCUAGUUCUGACCGUAAACGAUACCAACUAGCGUUCCGUCGGUGGUAAAUACGCCUUGACGGGCAGCUUCCCGGAAACGAAAGUCUUUCGGUUCCGGGGGAAGUAUGGUUGCAAAGCUGAAACUUAAAGAAAUUGACGGAAGGGCACCACCAGGAGUGGAGCCUGCGGCUUAAUUUGACUCAACACGGGAAAACUCACCUGGCCCGGACACCGUGAGGAUUGACAGAUUGAGAGCUCUUUCUUGAUUCGGUGGUUGGUGGUGCAUGGCCGUUCUUAGUUGGUGGAGUGAUUUGUCUGGUUUAUUCCGAUAACGAGCGAGACUCUAGCCUACUAAAUAGUCACUGGAUAAUUGCGUCCAGUGAGACUUCUUAGAGGGACAAGCGGUGCUUAGCCGCAUGAAGUUGAGCAAUAACAGGUCUGUGAUGCCCUUAGAUGUCCAGGGCUGCACGCGCGCUACACUGGAGGAAUCAGCGUGCAUUAACCAUUGCCGAGAGGCAUUGGUAACCCCUUGAAAAUCCUCCGUGAUCGGGAUCGGGAAUUGCAAUUAUUUCCCUUGAACGAGGAAUUCCUAGUAAGUGUGAGUCAUCAGCUCACGUUGAUUACGUCCCUGCCCUUUGUACACACCGCCCGUCGCUGCCCGGAACUGAGCCGUUUCGAGAAAAGCGGGGACCGCUGUUUCGCUGACGUUUCUACGUUGGCGAUUCUCUGGUGGAAACCGCCUUAAUCGCAGUGGCUUGAACCGGGCAAAAGUCGUAACAAGGUUUCCGUAGGUGAAC